This 776-nucleotide ribosomal RNA is filed under the name uncultured Neocallimastigales. Its description in RNAcentral is "partial large subunit ribosomal RNA". It matches the Rfam family "Eukaryotic large subunit ribosomal RNA", at positions 24 to 644 of the family's 3401-position model. The record is from RNAcentral. Lineage: Eukaryota; Fungi; Neocallimastigomycota; Neocallimastigomycetes; Neocallimastigales.
UAUGUGAUCGUCUCUCGCAUAUCAAUAAGCGGAGGAAAAGAAACUAACAAGGAUUCCCUUAGUAACGGCGAGUGAAGCGGGAAGAGCUCAAAUUUGAAAUCUUCAAGGUUUUACCUUGACGAAUUGUAGUUUAAAGAAGUGUUUUCUGUUGAAGUUUUGGUAAAAGUUCUUUGGAAUAGGACAUCAUAGAGGGUGAGAAUCCCGUAUUUGACCAUUAUUUUCAGCUGUGUGAUACACUUUCAAAGAGUCGGAUUGUUUGGGAAUGCAGUCCAAAAUGGGUGGUAAAUUUCAUCUAAAGCUAAAUAUUGGCGAGAGACCGAUAGCGAACAAGUACCGUCAGGGAAAGAUGAAAAGAACUUUGAAAAGAGAGUUAAACAGUACGUGAAAUUGUCAAAAGGGAAGCGUUUGACACCAGUGUUGUUUUCUCGAAAAUCAAUUAAAAAGAGUUAGAUUUUGUUGUGUAUUGACCUUAACAGCUUGCAUUUCAAUUUUCUUGCUUUUUUUUAAUGCACUUUUCGUUUAACAAGUCAACAUCAGUUUCUUUUGUUGUAAAAAGGUCAUUGGAAGGUGGCUUUCUUUUCGGAGAAAGUGUUUAUAGCCUUUGACUCCUGCAAUCGGAGAGACUGAGGUCUGCAGCGUAGAUCCUUCGGGGUUAGAUACAUUUGUGCUAAGUUAUAGCUUUUUAUAGACAACUUGUUGACUAUGAUUAGUCUUGUAGCUUACUCGCUUAUGCUAUUUUACCUACGCUUAGGAUGUUGAAGAUGUAGCACAUCAAU